CGCGUAGGCGGCCCGGUAAGUCCGCUGUAAAAGUCCAGGGCUCAACCCUGGAAAGCCGGUGGAUACUGUCGGGCUCGAGUCCGGAAGAGGCGAGUGGAAUUCCUGGUGUAGCGGUGGAAUGCGCAGAUAUCAGGAGGAACACCGAUGGCGAAGGCAGCUCGCUGGGACGGUACUGACGCUGAGGCGCGAAAGCGUGGGGAGCGAACA
RNAcentral lists this ribosomal RNA (207 nucleotides) under uncultured bacterium. RNAcentral's name for it is "partial 16S ribosomal RNA". It matches the Rfam family "Bacterial small subunit ribosomal RNA", at positions 568 to 774 of the family's 1533-position model. The record is from RNAcentral.